Molecule: non-coding RNA, 51 nt
Filed under: Echinostoma caproni
Lineage: Eukaryota; Metazoa; Platyhelminthes; Trematoda; Plagiorchiida; Echinostomatidae
Source: RNAcentral
ACACUGUUGACGAGUCCCAAACAGGACGAAACAGUUCUCUCUGUCCAGUGC